GACGAACGCUGGCGGCGUGCUUAACACAUGCGAGUCGAACGCUGAAGCUCAGCUUUUGUUGGGUGGAUGAGUGGCGAACGGGUGAGUAACACGUGAGUAACCUGCCUCCUUCUUUGGGAUAACGCCCGGAAACGGGUGCUAAUACUGGAUAUUCACUGGUCUUCGCAUGGGGGUUGGUGGAAAGGGUUUUUCUGGUGGGGGAUGGGCUCGCGGCCUAUCAGCUUGUUGGUGGGGUGAUGGCCUACCAAGGCUUUGACGGGUAGCCGGCCUGAGAGGGUGACCGGUCACAUUGGGACUGAGAUACGGCCCAGACUCCUACGGGAGGCAGCAGUGGGGAAUAUUGCACAAUGGGCGCAAGCCUGAUGCAGCGACGCCGCGUGAGGGAUGGAGGCCUUCGGGCUGUGAACCUCUUUCGCUCAUGGUCAAGCCGCAACAAUGGUUGUGGUGAGGGUAGUGGGUAAAGAAGCGCCGGCUAACUACGUG
This 483-nucleotide ribosomal RNA is filed under the name uncultured bacterium. RNAcentral's name for it is "partial 16S ribosomal RNA". It matches the Rfam family "Bacterial small subunit ribosomal RNA", at positions 28 to 507 of the family's 1533-position model. The record is from RNAcentral.